UACGUAGGGGGCAAGCGUUGUCCGGAAUCAUUGGGCGUAAAGCGCGUGUAGGCGGUCCGGUAAGUCCGCUGUGAAAGUCGGGGGCUCAACCCUCGGAUGCCGGUGGAUACUGUCGGGCUUGAGUACGGAAGAGGCGAGUGGAAUUCCUGGUGUAGCGGUGAAAUGCGCAGAUAUCAGGAGGAACACCUGCGGCGAAGGCGGGUAGCUGGGCCAACACUGACGCUGAAACGCGAAAGCUAGGGGAGCAAACGGG
This 253-nucleotide ribosomal RNA is filed under the name uncultured bacterium. RNAcentral describes it as "partial 16S ribosomal RNA". It matches the Rfam family "Bacterial small subunit ribosomal RNA", at positions 524 to 776 of the family's 1533-position model. The record is from RNAcentral.